Heterocephalus glaber (naked mole-rat) is the source of this 302-nucleotide non-coding RNA. The record is from Rfam. NCBI's taxonomy places the organism in Eukaryota, Metazoa, Chordata, Mammalia, Rodentia, Bathyergidae.
GGAUGUCAGGUGAUCUGGCUGCAACAUCUGUCACCCCACUGAUCUCCACGGUUGAUUUGGCUGAUUUGGCUAGCCAGGCAGGUUUCCCCUUCCUUCCUCACUGCUCCAUGUGGGUCUCUCCAGUAGCUUCCCUCUUGGUUGAAGAGUAUGUCUACCCCUGAUGGAGGAGGACCAUUUCCUUGGUCAAGGGUAUAGAAGUAUCUGUGCUCCUCUGCUAGAACCUCCAAACAAGCUCUCAGUUAAACCUUCUCAAGAUGUUUGAUGGAUAUUUUGACUGCCUGGAAAUGACAUGCAUUAUCUCA